Molecule: unclassified non-coding RNA, 464 nt
Filed under: Hevea brasiliensis (rubber tree)
Lineage: Eukaryota; Viridiplantae; Streptophyta; Magnoliopsida; Malpighiales; Euphorbiaceae
Source: RNAcentral
GUUGUCUCAAGCGUCGGAGGUGGUGGCGACGGAGCUGUCGGCAUCGGAGGAGUCGGCGACCGAAGUGCCGGCGUUAGUGAAGAAGAUCACGCUGAUAAGCUCCGACGGCGUUGAGUUUGUGAUCGAUGAGAACGUCGCCAUGGAGUCUCAGACGAUCAAGCACAUGAUCGAGGACGACUGCGCCGAGAGCAGCAUCCCCCUCCCAAACGUAAGCAGCAUGAUCCUUACAAAGGUCAUCGAGUACAUUAAGAAGCAUGUCGAGUCGCCGACGAAGGCCAUCGCUGAAAUGGCCGCUGAUAAGGCCGCCAUUGAGGAGCUGAAGAAGUGGGAUGCUGAAUUCGUGAAGUUUGAUCAGGGUACUCUGUUUCAAAUGAUUCUGGCAGCAAACUAUCUGAACAUCAAAGGGUUGCUGGAGCUUACUUGUGAACGUGUGGCUGAUAUGAUGAGGGGAAAGACGCCUGAGG